Oncorhynchus kisutch (coho salmon) is the source of this 2136-nucleotide long non-coding RNA. RefSeq lists it as uncharacterized. The record is from RefSeq and is a predicted model, not a curated record. The transcript has 3 exons. Lineage: Eukaryota; Metazoa; Chordata; Actinopteri; Salmoniformes; Salmonidae.
UGCAUCACUGGCAGGAAUCAUCAAAUUGUCUGUGGUAUUGAGUUUCGCCCGGAGAGUGAAUUGAAGAGAGUGAUUUUAGGUGCGGACAACGAAGAUGGCAACAACAAGUAGCAAUUCAAACAUGAACUGUAGAGCGCCAGGCUAUAUGUAUUGGCUCAAAAAAUCCCUCGGUAAACUACCGUCGGCUGCCCGACGACCCACGACUUUUGAAGAAGUGGCUCCAUGUCCUGAAGAGGAAGGACAUGCCAGCUCGAGCUAGCAGGGUCUGCAGACAGCACUUUGCGGAGGCAGACUUUGCAAUGAAGGGCACUUUUGAUGCGGAAACUGGGAGUUUCCGAAUGGAAAGGAGUCAUAGGCCCAAGUUGAAGCCCUCUGCUUGCGUCAAUUUUACAUUUGGAGGGUUAUUGUGUAGGGGUUACCGACCGACCAUCAUCAACAUCGCUGAAUUCGGAGUCAAGCAAAAUCGACUGAACGGAAGAGGCGACGCGAGUCAAUGCAAUGGAGUCUGAGGAUGACAUCUUCAUCCCUAAAAAGGUUUUCAUCCUGGAUGAGACUGGAGGAGGCAGAGGAGGAAAGAAUGGUUAGUACAGCAUGCCAAACUGACCCCUGGGUGCCAGUCUGUUCCUGUGCUGCGGUGAAGAGUUCCACCGGGACCAUCACUAAAGAGCUCGGGGCCCAGCUAGAUUGAGCCCACGAACAUCAGUAUACAACCGAGUCCGUCCCCUAAACGCCACAGAUGGAGCUGACGGAGAGUGAGAUCAAUGAAGACCGGAACUCACUGUAUGAACCUGAGAGCUCAGAAUCACAAUCAUCACAGUACGAGCCAAGAUAUACUAUCAAUCACUUUGUGGGAGCGGGCUGGUGUUCCGAAAAUGGAGAAGGAACAAGCCAUGGACAGCAAAUUCAAAGAAAACACCCAUCCAUAAAGGGAAUCGUGUUUCCACAGAUUUUUUUACCAGUUUCAACAGAUGUGCUACCUUGUCCCGGUCCUGCUGUUUCGAUUCUCUCUCUCAACCUAUGAAUGCUCAGCUAUAAAAAGCCAACUGACAUUUGCUCCUGAGGUGUUGAACCCUCCAUAACCACUGUGGUUAUUAUUUUGAUGUAAAAACGGCUUUUGUGAAAUACAUUUGAUAGAUUGUUUGCUGUGCUGGAUGCUGUGUAUUCCCUAACUGUCCGAGUGAUGGGACAUUUAUGUCUAACAUAUUUUGGUGGGUAUUUAAUCUGCAUCUUAACUAUUUAAAGUGGCAAUCAGCUGUAGAAACAAUAACAAAGUGUGUCCCUGCUCCUCUUUCGAUAAAAAGCUGAGGGACGGGGCUGGAGAAAUCUAACCACUCUCAAAUUCAUAGACAGGCCUAUAGAUGCAAGGACUGACCAUCCAUGAUAUCAACAUUGUAAUCCUGUUUCUAUGAUCUGUUUCCACUACCAUGUACCCAGUUUGCUUUGGAUAAAGGCAUCUGCUAAAUGGCAUCUAUUAUUAAAGUCUACUUUGACUCUGCCCACUAGCUUCCCAGUGUUCAGUCGUGGCCAAAAGUUUUGAGAAUGACACAAAUAUUAAUUUCCACAAAGUUUGCUGCUUCAGUAUCUUUAGAUAUUUUUUUCAGAUGUUACUAUGGAAUACUGCAGCAUAAUUACAAGUAUUUCAUGAGUGUCAAAGGCUUUUAUUGACAAUUACAUGAAGUUGAUGCAAAGAGUCAAUAAUUGCAGUGUUUACCCUUAUUAUUCAGACCUCUGCAAUCCGCCCUGGCAUGCUGUCACUUAUCUUCUGGGCCACAUCCUGACUGAUGGUAGCCCAUUCUUGCAUAAUCAAUGCUUGGAGUUUAUCAGAAUUUGUGAGUUGUUUGUUUGUCCAUCCGCCUCUUGAGGAUUGACCACAAGUUCUCAAUUAGAUUAAGGUCUGGGGAGUGUCCUGGCCAUGGACCCAAAAUAUCAAUGUUUUGUUCCCCGAGCCACUUAGUUAUCACUUUUGCCAGCCUGAUAAACUGCCAGCCUGUAUGCUCUGCAAACAAAAUAAUCAGAAAAGUUAUUCUGAUACCGAAACUAAAUCACAAUGUAUUUAUAAUGAGCAAAAAUUCCCUGUCUUAGGUCAUUGAGGAUCACCACUUUAUUUUAAGAAUGUGAAAUGUCAGAAUAAUAGUA